RNAcentral lists this small nuclear RNA (107 nucleotides) under Sus scrofa (pig). RNAcentral also lists the same sequence under 1 other name. Lineage: Eukaryota; Metazoa; Chordata; Mammalia; Artiodactyla; Suidae. The record is from RNAcentral.
GUGCUUGCUUCAACAGCACAAAUACUAAAACUGAAAUGAUACUGAGAAGAUUAGCAUGGUCCCUUUGCAAAGAUGAUACACAAAUUUUUGAGAUAUUCCAUAUUUUA